RNAcentral lists this ribosomal RNA (459 nucleotides) under uncultured bacterium. Its description in RNAcentral is "partial 16S ribosomal RNA". It matches the Rfam family "Bacterial small subunit ribosomal RNA", at positions 338 to 794 of the family's 1533-position model. The record is from RNAcentral.
CCUACGGGUGGCUGCAGUGAGGAAUAUUGCUCAAUGGGCUUACGCCUGAACCAGCCAAGCCGCGUGAGUGAAGACUGCCCUAUGGGUUGUAAACCUCUUUUGUCAGGGAGCAACGCCGGCUACGUGUAGCCGGACUGAGAGUACCUGAAGAAAAAGCAUCGGCUAACUCCGUGCCAGCAGGCGCGGUAAUUCGGAGGAUGCGAGCGUUAUCCGGAUUUAUUGGGUAUAAAGGGUGCGUAGGCGGAAUGCCAAGUCAGGGGUAAAAGAGCGGGGCACAACCUGGCUUGGCCGUUGAAACGGGCGUACUUGGUGGGGCGAGAAGUAGGAGGAAGGCGUGGUGUGGGGGUGAAAGGGAUAGAAAUCAGGGAGAACCCCGAGUGCGAAGGCAGCAUACGGGCGCCCAACUGACGCUGAAGGACGAAAGCGUGGGUAUCGAACAGGAGUAGAUACCCUUGUAGU